Molecule: ribosomal RNA, 253 nt
Filed under: uncultured bacterium
Lineage: Bacteria
Description: partial 16S ribosomal RNA
Rfam family: Bacterial small subunit ribosomal RNA
Source: RNAcentral
UACGGAGGGGGCUAGCGUUGUCCGAAGUUACUGGGCGUAAAGCGCGCGUAGGCGGGUUGGUAAGUCAGCUGUGAAAGCCCGGAGCUCAACUCCGGAGGGUCGGUGGAUACUGCCAGUCUUGAAGGUGCUAGGGGGAGAUGGAAUUACCGGUGUAGCGGUGAAAUGCGUAGAUAUCGGUAGGAACACCAGUGGCGAAGGCGGUCUCCUGGGGCAUUCUUGACGCUGAGGCGCGAAAGCUGGGGGAGCGAACGGG